This is a long non-coding RNA of Oreochromis niloticus (Nile tilapia), 5325 nucleotides long. RefSeq lists it as uncharacterized. The record is from RefSeq and is a predicted model, not a curated record. The transcript has 2 exons. Lineage: Eukaryota; Metazoa; Chordata; Actinopteri; Cichliformes; Cichlidae.
GGCGUCCUGGCUCCCCCUUGCCGUAGCAUUUGUGUUGUACCUCGUCAAUCUCUAGCUGUGAGAGCAGUCCCAACUAUGUUGAGCUUAAAGUCAGAGUUGUUAGUGUCUCUUUGCCUGCCUAAAUCACUGUGUUAACUUAUGCUGAAUACAUCAGGAGCAUAACCUGCUCCUGAUGUUUUGGUUUCGGUUUAAAAUAAUCUGGAAGCACUUAUUGUUCACUUAAUUUUUUUGUUUACAGAUUGUUUUAAGUCAAUAUGUAUUCUGUGCCACUGAAACCACUAAAUGAACUGCAAACUGUGAACUGUAUUGUCCCUGGAAUGUGCAUGUAUUAAUUUAGAGAUUGUAAAAAUGUAAAAAUGUUGUUGUGCUUGAUCUGAAUGGCACUGCUCACGGUGACACAGACAUACCGUGCUUUUAAUUUUUCUCAUUCUUCUAACGCGAUGCUUGAAAGUUUGAGUAGACAUGGAACGGCAGCCUCGUUUGGCUUGCUUACAGUAAAGUCAGAAUUAAACAUUAAGAAAUGAAUGAAAAAAUGAAAAUACGAGAACAUGAGAUUAUUCUUCACGGGCUCAUAAGGCCGAUAAUGAUCCAUCACGUAUCCAUUUCCUGGAGUAGAGUAAGCGACUGCCAAACAAAUCACUUUAGGCUCUCACUGCUCUCAGCAUCUAUUGCACUAAAGAUUCACACAUUUUAAUAAGUCUGGAGUCAUAUCAUCGUGUUUUUGAGUGUUUGCUGAAGUUGUAUUAUGGGAAAUGUCGGCUGAUUUGAUUACACACUCAGCAUUAAAAUAACAAACUGGAAUUUAAUUGGGUUUUUUUCACUGCUCGGCAUCCUACAUUGUAAGAGCAACGGUGCUCCCCCCGACCCCGUCACAAUCAGCUGUUUCCUUUUAUUACAAUAACUUCAGCAUAUCUUAUUAAGCCGUGUGAAGUUUGUGUUCAGGCCCUCAGCUGACACAAGUGUGGUCCAGAUUUGUCCUAACAGAAAGUUUUAGAGGUGAAAAACAUUUCCUUAAAACUGUACCAAAUCACUUUUACACUCUCUCCAAGUUUGACAAUUUAAAGUUUGCUUUAUUUAUCCCCCAUGAUGAAAUGAGCCUUGACAGUUUACCCACCAUGCACAAAACCUUCCAGGUUUUCACCAGUGAGUUAUCAGAAAACAGAUCAAAAAUUCAGGGCAACAAUGCUGGAAUUCUUCUAAACUGGUGCAGUUUAUUUAAAACUAUUGAUGCCAGGCUAGAUGAUGCCAGGACACUGAUGAUCAGAGUUGGUAAAAGAACAAAAAACAGAUUCUGGCUUUAGACACUUGCGGGUGUCUAAAGCCAGUUGUGUUAUAAUGGAAGCUAUUACCAGUACUGACCAUGAUGUUACAUAAGAGAUGUCAUGACUAAGCAGAAGUUUGAGUAAAUGAGUUGUUUGUUUGAGAAUUUGUUAGCAGCUGCCUCCGAGUUUAAUGUUCAGCCCUCGGCCUGAAAACAAAGGUCCCCAUUUUGUCUAAAGAAGACAGCCAUGGCCCGAAGCCUCUGUAGCCUGAGUUCAAAUGAAAUUUGGUUUGUGAACUCUGAUUAUCACAAGAGUGAGUGAGAAUUAACAUGAAUAUGCAUACAACUUCACUUUCACUUAAACAAAUGUUCCUGCUGUCGUCUCAUAAUGAUUUCUGCUGUAUUCUCUCUGUAGGUUACACCCGACCACACCUGCGUACCGGUGCUGGGCUCUUAUCUUUGAUCAGUGUAACUGUUCAUUGUUCAGUUUUGGGAAGUAUUUGCCUUUGUGAUCAUAGUUUGCAUACAAACAGUGCAUCAAAGGACACUGACAGAAAGGAUAGAGACAGAUUAUCUUUAUUUAGAGACAUGACUCUGUACUAGGGCAUUUCCAGGCUUCUUAUAUCCCAAUGUGUUUGCAAAAAACACUAAUCAGCACCAGAAGAUAUGACGUUACAGAGUCAAAAACAGCAUGAGAUGUAAGAACUGAGCUGAUCAGAUAUCCGCCUGUGUUGGCCAAUGCUGUGAGUUAAACUUUGUUUUUGUAUCUGUUAAUAACAUGAGACAGGAAAACCUGGGGGAAAUUGUUUCUGGUUUUCCACGCCAACCACACUGGAUUUGGUAACAUUCAGAUUUGACCAGUGGCCAGUAUUUCCCCCUGACACCACUCACAAAAAUCUGGAUUGUUCUUUCUUUUUGUCUUGUUGUUUUUGCUAAAUUGUUGCAGCUUAUUCAAACUCUAAUAUAUUCAAUAAUCCUCUGACCUGAAUGUCAGAACUUGGCUCUGUGCAAAGAUGGCAACCAUUCAAGCAUGAUUCGAAAAGUAGUCGAAAAAAAUGUUUAGUGCUGUGAUGAAACAGCAACUUGAUGUGAGAGCUCUGUGAUCUUGUGACCUAUUUUACCCCCCUGUAAGCUUUCCUUUGUGGGUUUGAUUGUUUGAGAAAACCACCAUAAAACUGUGAAGUAACGCUGCUAAGGUGUUGAGUCACCAGAAAAGACUUCCAGAUGUGGUUAUAUGAACAUAAGCUGCACAUUUAUCGAUUUAGUGCUCUGUUUGGCAGGGAUGCUCCAGUUCAUAUGUGCCUCUAAUGCUUCGAAUGCACCGUAGGGCAUGCUAUACUUAUAUACCAACUUCUUAUUUCCUGCUUUUGUCACCGUUGCUAUGAUAUAACCACACAAACUUUCACAUUAAACCAUAAGUAUGAGUCUACACGUCUUCAUCUCGGUCUUCGGGUCACCUCACUGAGAGUUAGAUUUUAAUUGAAUGUAACUCUUUAACACCUCUCAGGUUAAAGUUCAACCAUAAAUCCUCUCACAUGUUAACAGCUUGAACUUUGACGCUUCACUUUUUCACUUUCAGACAACAUUAUAUUGAAUGAAAGAGCAAUUUGCUCGCAUUCAAAGACAAGCUAGCAUUAGCUAACAUUAGCCAGAAUGAAGGGAGCUCAAGGCCAGACUUCCUGUCCUGUAGAGGUCUGUAGGGAAGCAACGCUCGGCCUUGACCUCAGUAAACAAUUUGCUGGUGAGUUCAUGGUCUAAAAUAGGUUUGCUGUAUGAAACCCAGUUUGGGACCACAAAAUGUAAAACUGCUGCUUGUGUUGUGCUGGGAUUUGGUUGUUUGGUGAAAAAUAUAAAAAAUAUAAAAAAAUAUCCUUCAGUUUUCCUCACUACACUUUCAGUGACACAUUAAAAGUGACUUUGCUUUAAAUAAAAUGUUCCUUUCGCCCUUCCUAUCACUCACACUCAGACAUGUUUACUGUUGAGAAUGAACUCUCAGCUCAGCUGUUUUCACUCUGUAGAUUGUAACUGUUCAGCUGUCCAAACAUGUACACAACCUUUGUCACUUUUGUUCUUUUUUCAGGUUUGAACAGGCUCUGUACUUGUCUCUGUCUGACAUCAGCAGCUCUGUUGUACAGGCUGCAUAGCAGCCCGUAGCUUGUUCCCACCAUCAUGAAUCUGAUAUUCCUUGGCGUACGGGAUGACUCAAAAAGAGGGCCAGGGGGGUGCUGAAGGGCUUCUUAUCUUAAAGUUGCACUUUCUCAGAAACCUCAGCACGUUCUCAGACAAAAUUGAUCCAAGACUUUGAAUAAGCAAUAUAUCUGAGGUCAUGUACAGAGUACAGACUCUACAGACUUUUUUUUCACAGAGAAACACUCCAUGUUUAUCUUUACAACAAUGAGUCAGGCAGCUACAUAAAUCUAAACUCGCAUAAGUUCGUUUAAUGUUAAGUUUGAAAAUUAUCAGUUUAAAUACAUUCACAAAUAGAACCAGUGUGAAAACAAACCAGAACAACAACAUCACAACUCACUGCACAAAAUGAAGUACAUCCGUUUUGGGCUCUGUGGGAUAAAAGUAAUCCAUUUGAUUAAAAUUGCUCAAUAUAACCAGAAUCUCAGAGGUGUUCUCCUCUGAAUGUUUUUGCUUUUACAGCUUUUACACAAAAACAUUUGUUUCAUUUCUUAUGAAACAUGUUAGUGUGCAUAAGUGCCUUUUUUUUUUUUUACCAAGGGUCUGUUUUACAACGCUCGUCAGAUUCAAAAGCCUCCUUUCCUCUUUCUGCAGUGCAGACAUAUUUGUCUCAGUCGAUUGUGGUUUUACAUCACGGUUCCCUAUUUAGAUGUUUGUUACUCAUAAAGAGCAAAAUGUGUGUGUGUGUGUGCAUGUGUGUGUUGGGGUAGGCACUGAGUCUGUCAUAACAGAAUCAAAACGAAAUGCAGACUGUCACAUCAUAGACCACAAAAGAAAAUCAGCCCAACUAAAAUAAACAAAAAGAAAACAUUUGUGUUUUUGUAACGAAAUUGCAAAUGCAAAUGUUUAUGCUUUUUUUUUUGAUUUGCUCAUUUGGUGUUAUAAAGACACGCUGUGGUCUUAUCACUGAUGCUCAAUUAGCUCCUCAAACGAGAACCAAACUUUAGAGAGGCAGUUUGAGUUUUCCACAAAUAAAACACACUAAACAAAAAGACACCCAGCUGGUGAUCAUUCAGUGCAGAAAUGUGUGCACUUUUUUCUUGUCUUGGGAAUGCAUCCUUUCAGACUUUGCAACAGCAUAAAUGUGUCACUUUGAAGUGACAUUUCUAAGAAUUUUGCAGAAAUGCAAUGGAGAAAAAACACCCUGUAACUGUAACUCCUCUUUAACCUGCUACAGCAGAAAAAAGCAUGCUUUUACUUUUGCUUUCUUCUUAACCCAGGUUAUAUAUUUAUGUUUAACAACUUAGACAUUUUAAAAAGGUAAAGCUGUUCAAGUGCUGGUGCAGAGAGCUGAUGGCAGUUGCUAGAUUACCAAACAGGAACCAACAUGCUGAAAAUAAAAAACUUUUUUACUCAGUUCUGGGAGAACUGUUAUGUGACAAGUGUGCAAAAAAACCAAAGUGGUAAGCACAACUGCACUGAGCGUGUUGAUGAUUGUAUAUUUGGUCACUGUGGCUACAGUUUUAAUGUCUGCACCAAGCUGUUUUGAAUGCAGGCAGGAAGCCAAAUCAUGAGAACCUGAACAAGACAGCUUAUUAUUGAAUUAUCUGCAGGACAUGACUAGAUUUAAAUAAAUGUCAGAGUAACAUUUUCAGUAUAGGCCUUCUCAUUCAUACAGUGCUCCGGGAGUGUUCAGACGUAAUGAGAGGUAUGAAUAACUGAUGUUGUUAUGGUUUAGUUUGAAUCUGUGAGUCAGUCCUGUGGGGAAGUCCAUCCAUGCUGUACAUCAUUUCUUAAACAAACCAAGCACCUCUGUGAGGUAUUCACUGCCCCGUACUUCUAAUGCGCUUUCUUGCUACUGCAACACACAGAUUCUUGGUCAUUAUAGAUGACAAUAUAGAUAAACUCUAAAAUUGAGUUUAUAGGUGCCAAAGUCA